This 497-nucleotide ribosomal RNA is filed under the name uncultured bacterium. RNAcentral's name for it is "partial 16S ribosomal RNA". It matches the Rfam family "Bacterial small subunit ribosomal RNA", at positions 28 to 507 of the family's 1533-position model. The record is from RNAcentral.
GAUGAACGCUGGCGGCGUGCCUAAUACAUGCCAGUCGAGCGAACAGACGAGGAGCUUGCUCCUCUGACGUUAGCGGCGGACGGGUGAGUAACACGUGGAUAACCUACCUAUAAGACUGGGAUAACUUCGGGAAACCGGAGCUAAUACCGGAUAAUAUAUUGAACCGCAUGGUUCAAUAGUGAAAGACGGUUUUGCUGUCACUUAUAGAUGGAUCCGCGCCGCAUUAGCUAGUUGGGAAGGUAACGGCUUACCAAGGCAACGAUGCGUAGCCGACCUGAGAGGGUGAUCGGCCACACUGGAACUGAGACACGGUCCAGACUCCUACGGGAGGCAGCAGUAGGGAAUCUUCCGCAAUGGGCGAAAGCCUGACGGAGCAACGCCGCGUGAGUGAUGAAGGUCUUCGGAUCGUAAAACUCUGUUAUUAGGGAAGAACAAAUGUGUAAGUAACUAUGCACGUCUUGACGGUACCUAAUCAGAAAGCCACGGCUAACUACGUG